AACAUUUAGGAAUCUGCCUAGUAGUGGGGGAUAGCUCGGGGAAACUCGAAUUAAUACCGCAUACGACCUACGGGUGAAAGGGGGCGCAAGCUCUUGCUAUUAGAUGAGCCUAAAUCAGAUUAGCUAGUUGGUGGGGUAAAGGCCCACCAAGGCGACGAUCUGUAACUGGUCUGAGAGGAUGAUCAGUCACACCGGAACUGAGACACGGUCCGGACUCCUACGGGAGGCAGCAGUGGGGAAUAUUGGACAAUGGGGGCAACCCUGAUCCAGCCAUGCCGCGUGUGUGAAGAAGGCCUUUUGGUUGUAAAGCACUUUAAGCAGGGAGGAGAGGCUAAUGGUUAAUACCCAUUAGAUUAGACGUUACCUGCAGAAUAAGCACCGGCUAACUCUGUGCCAGCAGCCGCGGUAAUACAGAGGGUGCGAGCGUUAAUCGGAAUUACUGGGCGUAAAGCGAGUGUAGGUGGCUCAUUAAGUCACAUGUGAAAUCCCCGGGCUUAACCUGGGAACUGCAUGUGAUACUGGUGGUGCUAGAAUAUGUGAGAGGGA
RNAcentral lists this ribosomal RNA (546 nucleotides) under Escherichia coli. RNAcentral's name for it is "bacterial SSU rRNA". It matches the Rfam family "Bacterial small subunit ribosomal RNA", at positions 112 to 659 of the family's 1533-position model. The record is from RNAcentral. Lineage: Bacteria; Pseudomonadati; Pseudomonadota; Gammaproteobacteria; Enterobacterales; Enterobacteriaceae.